CAUCUAAAGUAAAACAGCCUAAAAAGAGCUAAAAUGAAAGUAUAAUCUGUAUAGACUUAUAUAAUUUACUGUACUAAAUCUAACACAAGUUUAGCUUAGUUAAAAAACUUUUAUUGAUAAGUGACUUAAAUUGAAGGAAUUAAGCCAAUUUAAACUUGUUAUGUUCGCAUUUCAAGCUUUCGUUAUUAAACGAAUUAAUUUUUAAACAUAGAGACUGUUUAGCAAAAACAUAAUGCUUUGCUAAUAUUAAUUAAAUGUAUAAAGCAUGACUUGUACCCGGUGUAUAAUGAAAAACUUAAAAACAAAGAUAAUCAUUAAAUAGACGGUUGCUUUAACUAUUAGAGUAAUAAUGUAGCGUAGUACCUUGUCACUUAAUUAGUGACUUGCAUGAUAAAGUAACUACUAUGUUGCUGUCUUCAAUUUAAGCUUAAUGAAAUUACAAUUUUUGUGCAAAUGCAAAAAUACUUUUACAAGACGAAAAGACCCUAGAUCCUUUACAAAAAACUUAUAACGAAUUUAGUCAUUUUUAAAGUAAUAGAAUAUGUGGUUGUAUUUAUAUAACUUUUAUAUUAUACUAAAAUGAAAUCCCACACAUUAAAUAUAGAGUAAAUUUAACUGUAAUUCAUACAGUUUUUUUAUGUUUUUUUGUUUAACUGGGGCGGUAGUCUCCUAUAAAUUAACGGAGUAUAUACAAAGGUAAAAAUUUAAAUAAAAAAAUAUUUUUACUUAAUUGUAAGAUUAAAUAUAUCAAACAAUAAUAUUAUGUUGGUUUUAAUGACCUGCUAUUUACAAAUGUUAAAUAAUUUAAAGCAAAAUAGCAAUUAUUAAACUUAGGAACUCUAGGGAUAACAGCUUAAUUAAUAUGUUAAGUUCAAAUUAACAUAUUAGUUUAAGACCUCGAUGUCGGCAAGUCAUAUCCUUAAACUGAAAAUGGUUUAAAAGGUACAAUUGUUCAUUGUAUAAAAUGACACAUGAGCUGGGUUAAAAGCGUCGUAAGACAGCUUGGUCUAUAUCUGUAAGAGUUUAUGUAAAGCUAAUGCAAUUUUUGAUUGUACGAAAGGACUU
This 1065-nucleotide ribosomal RNA is filed under the name Porphyridium aerugineum. RNAcentral's name for it is "partial Bacterial large subunit ribosomal RNA". It matches the Rfam family "Bacterial large subunit ribosomal RNA", at positions 1577 to 2694 of the family's 2925-position model. The record is from RNAcentral. Lineage: Eukaryota; Rhodophyta; Bangiophyceae; Porphyridiales; Porphyridiaceae.